CAACCCUCAGACCAAGGAGACCUGCCUACAGCUGCAUUCCACCCACAUCGUUGUCUAAAUCUCCAAAGUCCUCUGGCCCCCACCUGUGCCAUCUUUGAUAACCGGACUCACUCUGUAGGCAAUCAAGGCCGGGGCUCUAGAACUCUCACACCAUGAUAUUUACUUGCCUUUCUGGAUGGUGAGAGUUUCCAACGAGGUCUUUGAAAAAGAAGCAAAGCAAGUAAGAACGCCUUGUUCAAUAGCUUCAGAUGGCCAACCAAUCACCAGACGUGGGCUAUCCCCAAGGAGGAGCGCAUCCUAGAGCAAGGUGGCUCUCCCUGAGACAAGGCUGAGGACAAUUCCAGGGAAAGGGCUCUCUGAGAGCACAACAGCCACCAACAUUCCCCUACCUGGGGACCAAAUGUCCUCUCUGCCCUGAAGUGGCAAUCUGGGUGAUUGCCUCUACAGAUACAUAAUCAAGUCUCUCUUCUGCUCUCAACACAAAACAGGAAGCUUUACAGAUAACCUGUUUGAAGAAUGAUUCUCUCAGAGUCGAGGCUUUAUGUUCUCAAGAGACUGAGAACUCCAAUCUGUCAGGAACUCAGAGGGAACUGCCUUCAAGCUAAUCACUAGGGACCAUCUCUCAUCCUCUGGGGUGCUAUGGAAAAUUCAACUCAAAUUCAUUAGCAAUCUGAAAGCUAAUUAUUUCACCAAAAGAUCUUAGUGAAUUUCUAUAUUAAAAAUUCCCAGCUGGGGCACCUGGAUGGCUCAGUUGGUUAAGCACCUGACUCUUGAUUUUGGCUCAG
Long non-coding RNA from Zalophus californianus (California sea lion), 785 nucleotides. RefSeq lists it as uncharacterized. The transcript is spliced from 3 exons. Lineage: Eukaryota; Metazoa; Chordata; Mammalia; Carnivora; Otariidae. The record is from RefSeq and is a predicted model, not a curated record.